Long non-coding RNA from Mastomys coucha (southern multimammate mouse), 354 nucleotides. RefSeq lists it as uncharacterized. The transcript has 2 exons. The record is from RefSeq and is a predicted model, not a curated record. NCBI's taxonomy places the organism in Eukaryota, Metazoa, Chordata, Mammalia, Rodentia, Muridae.
CUUCUGUGCUUUCUGCUUACAAAAGGCAAAACUGUCAGCUCCUGGUUAACCUGCUAAGACUUCCAGCAAUGGCCUGAAAAUACAAGACAAAACAAGCCCCUUUACUCCCUGAGCAGCCCCACCACCUUGGGGACAGGAGCCCACAGGGGACACUUUUUAUUCCAGCCAUCACAAAUCAGGGCUGGAGAGAUGGCCUUUCCCAGCAUACACAUGACACUCACAGUUCUGCAACUCCAGUUUCAGGGGAUCUGAUGCUCUCCUUUCACCUCUGUGAGCACCCUGCAUGCAUGUGUUACAUAUGCAUGUAGGUGAUAUAAUUACAUAAAAUGGAAUAAAUAAUUUUUUAAAUCCCCA